This 224-nucleotide long non-coding RNA is filed under the name Phoenix dactylifera (date palm). Its description in RNAcentral is "long non-coding RNA (PDAC_LNC008986)". Lineage: Eukaryota; Viridiplantae; Streptophyta; Magnoliopsida; Arecales; Arecaceae. The record is from RNAcentral.
AUAACUUAAAGUUAUAACUCCAGUAGAGGUGAGCUUCCUUAAAAUUUUAUAUCGAAGCUCGAUGUGUCUAGACGACUUUGAAUUGUGAUGUUUACUUUUCACUUUUGCUAUAGUCGCCUGAUUAUCACAGUUAAUUAGAAUAGCAGGAAUAGGCUUAUCCAUCAUGGGAAUAUCUGAUAACAGACCCUUAAGCCAAUCUACUUCUCCACCAGCUAACUCUAAGG